Long non-coding RNA from Lineus longissimus, 135 nucleotides. RefSeq lists it as uncharacterized. The record is from RefSeq and is a predicted model, not a curated record. The transcript has 2 exons. Lineage: Eukaryota; Metazoa; Nemertea; Pilidiophora; Heteronemertea; Lineidae.
CUUCUCGCAAAUCCGUGUUGAUAAUUAGCACCUCGAACACAAUGACCAUGGGAAUCCAUAUGAAAAUAAAUGAUGUGUAAGUGAGUUUGAUCAAAUGUAAGCGCAAAUAAAAUGAAGAAUAAACUUUCUUUUCGA